RNAcentral lists this ribosomal RNA (253 nucleotides) under uncultured bacterium. RNAcentral describes it as "partial 16S ribosomal RNA". It matches the Rfam family "Bacterial small subunit ribosomal RNA", at positions 524 to 776 of the family's 1533-position model. The record is from RNAcentral.
UACGAAGGGUGCAAGCGUUACUCGGAAUUACUGGGCGUAAAGCGUGCGUAGGUGGUUCGUUAAGUCUGUCGUGAAAGCCCCGGGCUCAACCUGGGAAUGGCGAUGGAUACUGGCGGGCUAGAGUGCGGUAGAGGAGAGUGGAAUUCCCGGUGUAGCAGUGAAAUGCGCAGAUAUCAGGAGGAACACCGAUGGCGAAGGCAGGUCUCUGGGCAUUAACUGACGCUGAGGAGCGAAAGCAUGGGGAGCGAACAGG